Molecule: ribosomal RNA, 978 nt
Filed under: Geobacillus sp. B31
Lineage: Bacteria; Bacillati; Bacillota; Bacilli; Caryophanales; Anoxybacillaceae
Description: bacterial SSU rRNA
Rfam family: Bacterial small subunit ribosomal RNA
Source: RNAcentral
GGCCGAGGGGUGAGUAACACGUGGGUAAUCUGCCUGUAAGACGGGGAUAACUCCCGGAAACCGGGGCUAAUACCGGAUAAUAAGAGAAGAAGCAUUUCUUCUUUUUGAAAGUCGGCCUCUCGCUGACACUUACAGAUGAGCCCGCGGCGCAUUAGCUAGUUGGUGAGGUAACGGCUCACCAAGGCGACGAUGCGUAGCCGACCUGAGAGGGUGAUCGGCCACACUGGGACUGAGACACGGCCCAGACUCCUACGGGAGGCAGCAGUAGGGAAUCUUCGGCAAUGGGCGAAAGCCUGACCGAGCAACGCCGCGUGAGCGAUGAAGGCCUUCGGGUCGUAAAGCUCUGUUGUUAGAGAAGAACAAGUACGAGAGUAACUGCUCGUACCUUGACGGUACCUAACCAGAAAGCCACGGCUAACUACGUGCCAGCAGCCGCGGUAAUACGUAGGUGGCAAGCGUUAUCCGGAAUUAUUGGGCGUAAAGCGCGCGCAGGCGGUCUCUUAAGUCUGAUGUGAAAGCCCACGGCUCAACCGUGGAGGGUCAUUGGAAACUGGGAGACUUGAGUGCAGGAGAGAAAAGUGGAAUUCCACGUGUAGCGGUGAAAUGCGUAGAGAUGUGGAGGAACACCAGUGGCGAAGGCGGCUUUUUGGCCUGUAACUGACGCUGAGGCGCGAAAGCGUGGGGAGCAAACAGGAUUAGAUACCCUGGUAGUCCACGCCGUAAACGAUGAGUGCUAGGUGUUGGGGGGUUCCACCCUCAGUGCUGAAGUUAACACAUUAAGCACUCCGCCUGGGGAGUGCGACCGCAAGGUUGAAACUCAAAGGAAUUGACGGGGGCCCGCCCCAGCCUUGGAGCAUGUGGUUUAAUUCGAAGAAACGCGCAGAACAUUCCCAGGUCGUGGCACCCGCUGACCACUCUAGAGAGAGAGCUUUCCCCUCCGGGGGGCAGAAUGACAGAGGGGCAGGCUGGUCGUCUGCU